Long non-coding RNA from Brassica oleracea var. oleracea, 319 nucleotides. RefSeq lists it as uncharacterized. The record is from RefSeq and is a predicted model, not a curated record. The transcript is spliced from 3 exons. NCBI's taxonomy places the organism in Eukaryota, Viridiplantae, Streptophyta, Magnoliopsida, Brassicales, Brassicaceae.
AAAGAAAAUCGUCAAAACCAUCUUUUUCUCAGGUUAGAACUUUGGACUACGUUACAAAAACUUGCUGGGAAUCUUGGCCCCUUCGUGAAGGUCGCGGGUUAAAAGGUUUGGGCUUUGUCACUGUGAAUGCACAGGCUUGCAUCUGCAACAGAGUUUAUGGCUAUGGAGGUUGAUUCUGAGAAACAACCGAUUAAAAGGGAGAUUAGCCCUGAACCUGACUCUAGUCCUCCUUGUCCCAAAAUAAGCAUACAUGAUUACUAUCUGUCUUCAGUUGGCUCUACUUCUAGCACACGUAUUGUUUAGGAAAAGGUCAUGUAUG